UUACCCAUAGGUACCUAUGGUUUGAUAUUUUGUGUAUAAAAUAUCAAACCAUAGGUACCUAUUGGUAA
This 68-nucleotide small RNA is filed under the name Mytilus galloprovincialis (Mediterranean mussel). Lineage: Eukaryota; Metazoa; Mollusca; Bivalvia; Mytilida; Mytilidae. The record is from RNAcentral.